GAAUCGAGUGACCUCGGCUGUGCCAAGCGGUAGCGCGCGACAACUUUGCACGCGAGUAAUCUGCGCAGUCUACGCUAUGCGCUCUAUAGUUGCCCUGGUGGUGCGUGUUGCAUGGACCUUCCGAAUUAAAGCAAGCUGGCGGUUUACUGUGACAUCCACCUCACUGUGUUGUGCCGGCAUACAAAGCCAGUCACAAGGCGACUUCGAGCAGCGCAGACCCAUGUGACUGACUACCUGUGCUGCAGCAUGAAAAAAAUCCUUCCACGGAUUCUGUACAGUCAUGGCAUCACUGCCUCAACGGACUCGACCCUGAGCAAAGGCCAGUGAGGACACAAGCGCAUGGUGAGCAGAAUCAUGCGAGGGGUCACUCUCAAUCGUCAGACGGC
Long non-coding RNA from Rhipicephalus sanguineus (brown dog tick), 386 nucleotides. RefSeq lists it as uncharacterized. The record is from RefSeq and is a predicted model, not a curated record. The transcript has 3 exons. Lineage: Eukaryota; Metazoa; Arthropoda; Arachnida; Ixodida; Ixodidae.